GGAGGGGUACCCAAGCGGUCAACGGGGGCAGACUGUAAAUCUGUUGGCUCAGCCUUCGUAGGUUCGAAUCCUACCCCCUCCACCA
RNAcentral lists this transfer RNA (85 nucleotides) under Gammaproteobacteria bacterium RBG_16_51_14. RNAcentral's name for it is "tRNA-Tyr". It matches the Rfam family "tRNA". From Rfam's summary of the family: Transfer RNA (tRNA) molecules are approximately 80 nucleotides in length. Their secondary structure includes four short double-helical elements and three loops (D, anti-codon, and T loops). Further hydrogen bonds mediate the characteristic L-shaped molecular structure. tRNAs have two regions of fundamental functional importance: the anti-codon, which is responsible for specific mRNA codon recognition, and the 3' end, to which the tRNAs corresponding amino acid is attached (by aminoacyl-tRNA synthetases). tRNAs cope with the degeneracy of the genetic code in two manners: having more than one tRNA (with a specific anti-codon) for a particular amino acid; and 'wobble' base-pairing, i.e. permitting non-standard base-pairing at the 3rd anti-codon position. The record is from RNAcentral. Lineage: Bacteria; Pseudomonadati; Pseudomonadota; Gammaproteobacteria. RNAcentral also lists the same sequence under 4 other names.